Long non-coding RNA from Saccostrea cuccullata (small rock oyster), 2799 nucleotides. RefSeq lists it as uncharacterized. The transcript is spliced from 7 exons. Lineage: Eukaryota; Metazoa; Mollusca; Bivalvia; Ostreida; Ostreidae. The record is from RefSeq and is a predicted model, not a curated record.
AUAUAAUUCCUUAAGAUUAUAUAGAGCAAUGACCACAAUUUUGAAAAUUUUGUCUCGCUAAUGAAGAGUCAUUGACUAUCUCGCGAAAAUAAGGUGUCGCGAAAAUUAAGUGAUUUACAGUAUAUAUAGGAAACGUCUUCUCAAUAAUACCAAAGCCAUAUAUAGUCAUAUUGAAAUGGAAGCAUCCUUAGGUAGUGUAGAUUCAAAUUUGUCCAGAUCUUGAUUCCAGGGGGCAGGGAGGGGCAUCAAUGGGGAUAAAAUUUUAACAAAGGAAUAUAUAGGAAAAAAUUUUAUGUUCAAGAACAGCUAAGCCAUUGUUAUUGAUAUGAAAAUGUCUCCAGGUAGUUAUUCAAGCCCCCUUCUCCUUUUCCUAAAUUUUAUUCUUUUCAAUACUGGACUAAUUUGUCAUUUAUUAGCCAAUAUGCUUAGGUGAGCAUAUUGCCCAUUGGCCACUAGUUUAUUUUAGAAAUCUUCUCACUUGGUAUGAAGUGCAAGUGAUCCUCUUUUGGUGUCUGUUAAUUUUUAUCUUUUUAAGAGGAAUACUUUUAAGGCUGAACAGGAUCCUGAAGUGAGGAGGACUCCCUCUCUCAUUGAACUGCAUACAGCAGCAGAAAGCAGGAUUUCAGUUCCCCUUUGAUUCAGAAGAGGAACAACAAUGGAGGACCAAGGUCAUUAAUAUAAGAAGAGUCUAUUCCUGUCUGUGUUUUGCAGCAGAAGAAAGUUAAGACUGACCAGAAAUUCUAAGUGAGGAAGAGUCCCUUUUCCAUUCCGCUGCAGCCAUGAGGAGAAUACUCUAUUUUCAAGGAAUUUGACAAGGGAAGAGGACCAGUGCUGACCAAGUGAAGAAAAAGAAGAGUCUAUUGCCAAGCUUUGUACAGCAGCCAAUAUCUGAUUAAGGAGUGGAAGAUGAGACUGAUCUCAAUCAGUUAACAAGAAUGUGGAAAGUAAGGACUUACUACUGUCUAACCUAAACAUUGAUGGCAGGCAGUUAUGCUGGCAUUGAUCCUGUUUCCAAAAGCAGAUCAACAUGAUUCCUCAAGACUCCAAAGAGAUCAACUAUGGGACCUGAAAAUAAAGGCAGACUGCCAUCAAUUUCAUGUUUCUUUGAUAGCAGACAAAUAUGCUUCAACAAUAGUGCAGAGAGUAAUUUAAGGUUUGGACUGCAAGUGAUGGACACACUAAAUAACUCAACUCAAAGAAUUCAAUGGAUAGUGCUGAGUACAUUAUUAUAUAUCUACAAAGUGAUGGGCACACUAAAUAGCUUAACUGACAGAAUUCAAUGGACCAUGCUGAGUACAUUGUUAUCUACAAAGUGAUGGACACACUAAGUAGCUUAACUCACAGAAUCCAAUGGACAGAGUUGAGUAUGUACUAAUAUCUACAAAGUGAUGGACACAGUAAACAGCUUAAUUCUCAGGAUUCAGUGUACCAUGCUGAGUACAUAACUCAUUAAGGAUAACUCAUAUGACAUCCACAGCAGAUCACUCAAAGUUGUGUUACUACAUUAUUGUACAACUUUUCAUAUACUACGUUAUUUUUUUCUGAAUGUUUUUUUUUUUGUAUCUGUAUAUUAUAUUUUUUAAUUUAAAAAAGUUAAAGAUUGGAUUUUUAAGCAAAAAUAUCAAGAGAGGUAAAUCAGUGCUUGUCUGAAUAUCUAAGCUUAAGAGAAAGGGAGGUAAUUUUUUUUAUUGUGAAUCCUUGUCCAGAGCAUAUGCUUUCUCCCCUUGGUCCAAUGUGGCUAAUACUUCUCUCACAGAGUGCCACUGGUCAAUGGAUGUGUAGUGACCUUGAACAAAGUUUCUAGGCCAAGAGUCAAGGUUAAAACCCCUUUCAGCUACUUUACAUUUUUAUGUUCAUUGCUGAAAGUGGGACCCUUUGAGAUGGCCACCAUCUCAAUGAUAUCUAAUUUUAGUUUGAAAAUUGCUAGAAAAGAUAAAGUGAUCUCAUUGUAACAUUAUUAUUUUUUAGUGUUUUAGAUUAUAAAUAAAUAUAACAAUAUGCAAAAUCUAAAUUCUUUUAUAUUUUCUCUCCUUUGAUUUACAUAGCAGGCCUUGCAGUUUUUAGCUCAUAUGAGAUUUUCUGAUCACCUGUUGUCCGUCGUCCAUCCGUCUGACUGUCCAUUCAUCUGUAAACUUUUCACAUUUUCAGCUUAUUCUUGAGAACCAUUGGGCCAAUUUUGACCAAACUUAGUACAAAACAUCCUUGGGUAGUGGGAGUUUAAAUUAUAAAAAUAAAGUCCCCUUCCGAGGGGAAAUUGUCAAGAAUAUACAAAAAUAGGGUGGGGUCAUAAAAAAAUCUUCUCAAGAACCACUGGGCCAGAAAAGCUAAACUUCUGUGGAAGCAUCCUGGGGUAGUGUUACUAGUGUAGAUUCUAAAUUGCUUGGAUCAUGACCCCUGGGGAUUGGGAAAGGUCAAGAUAGGUAUUAGGGGGAAAUCUGUUUAAUAACAUAAUGGCCAAAGUUACUCAGGUGAGUGAUGUGGCCCAUGGGCUUCUUGCUUAUCUAAUUUAGUUUUAUCUUUGUAUGCAACACUUUUUCCUUCUUUUAGUUGUUACUGAGGUUCUAAGUAAUUUAAAGUUUUUUAUGAAAUAUUUUUCCUUGUCAAGUUCUAUAAGCAUGUUCUACUUCAUACACAAGUAGUAUAUGAAGAUUUUCUAGAUGUUUCAUAUUUUUUCAAUUUUUCUUGAAAAGCAUAACUGAUGUACAUGUAAUUGUAAAAACUGUGUUUGUCCCUUGUGAUACAUGAUUAAUUUAUGUCAGUUUGAAUUUAUCAUAUAUAUUAAAAUACACUAUUAUACAG